Long non-coding RNA from Helianthus annuus (common sunflower), 2167 nucleotides. RefSeq lists it as uncharacterized. The record is from RefSeq and is a predicted model, not a curated record. Lineage: Eukaryota; Viridiplantae; Streptophyta; Magnoliopsida; Asterales; Asteraceae. The transcript has 3 exons.
GUCACCUCCUUUUCCUUGCCACCGUACAUUAUCAAUUCAUCUUCAUCACAUCUCAUUUUAACAUUGCAGGGAGAAAACCAUCAAAUUAGAGUCAACCGGAGCAACUUGCGGAAAACGACGGUGGUACCGGGGUUUGCGGUCACCGCAGCGGUGAUCAACAGUCGUACUCAAGUGUUGGCUAGGGUUUCGGUUGCCGUUUCAGGCAGAAACCGAUGGUGACGGCGGUUAGGGUAUCACCACAUGCGUUUCUUUUUUUCCGGUGUGAGCACACGUGCUCGCCAUUCAACACCUCAUCUCAUCCCAUCUGCUUCUUGAUUCAGAUUAAGAGAGACUAGCAGGAGAGAAAGAUAACUGUUCUGGAAAUCGAAACUUGGUUAAGCUACAAAUUUAUUGAGAUUAAGAGAGACUAGCAGGAAAAAAAGAAGGGCCGGUUUCCUCACAAUGGUCACCGGUCACCGAUCUUCGGUCGGAUUUCGAUUUAUGCAACCAUUGUGGCUGAGUUAGGGUUGGCGGUGAACAUUGACCACAAUCAUGGCUGAAUUAGGGUUCUUCUAUAUUCCUGCCAGAAGCUAGGGUUUCGAUGCUUUUCCUGCGACACAGGUAAGUUCUAUGGUCUUUAUGGUUGCAUUUUGUUUGUAUUUUACCAUUCCAAUCAAAUCCCUUUCCUGCAACUAAUUCAUUGUAUAUAUUUAUUUUUCUUGGUGUCGAUCUUUAUGAGUACCAGUGGAUAAAUAGAGUUUUCAACAUUCAAGGAUCAAGGUAAAUUAUGUAUUAAAAAUGUUAAUUUAUUACUUGUAGAAAUGUAAAUUCAAAACCAUAACUUUAUUUGGAUUGAUGAUGUCAACGAUGGCUGCUAGCGGCUGAAUGAGACACUCAGGCAAGCUUUGCAACGGCUUUACAUGACCCGGGCCUCUUAUAGAGAUGCACUCAUACAAGGUUAUCAAGAAGGCAUUCAACAAGUGAUGGAGAAAAAGGAUAAUUUGAUUUGAGCUUGAACAGAACCAUGAAGAUGACCAACAAUGUUGUAGCCAAAUCAAGCUACGUGUAAUAUUCCAGAACAAAACUACAGUAUAAUCUAACAGCCAAGAACAUAGCUGUUAUAUGUUUUCAGUGAUAGCCCUAUAUUCAUGCAACACCAAAUCAGAUUAACAAUCUUGCAUACUUUACAUAUAACUUAAUAUUUAUGCUCAUUAAUUAAAGUAACAAAUAUUUACAUCAAUUAUGAAAUUAAUAUUUAACUAGGGGUGGGCAAUUGUGCGUCGGGUCGAAACUGGACCAGAUGGCUUAGGACUGAACUGGAUAAAUAUAGGGUGGGUGGGUCUUAGGCUGGUCAGGUAGUUUGAUCCCAGGUUUGGUUAGACUGAACCCAUUUUUUUUGCUGAGCCAAUAAUCUUUGCUUUUGAAUUGAUUUGUAGGACAAGGUUUAUUUCCAUUGUUCCAUAAAAGUCAACUUGAUCAAUCUUUCAGGUGCACACUACCAAACUCCACAGAUGAAGAAAGUGACGAACUCUCAAACCACUGAUCAUAUGAACAGAGAUAACAAUUAGCCACUUAAUUUGUUUGUUUGUUUGUUCGCUUGAGUGGUUAAUUAGUGUAUAAAAAGAAGCGAUAACGGAUUUGAUUUUUAUAGGUCCUGGUUGUUCGUUGGUUAUAGAAAGGGCGUUUAUGAAGCACCCUCCGUUUAAACAAAGUGGUAGGUUGUGGUGGAGAUUGAUUAUAGCUAGAAUAAGGCUAUGACAUUGACUUUUGGGACAUCAAAGAUUAGGGUUCAUGAAAACCUAUAUGCCAGAGCAACUGGCAUAUCGAAUUGAGGCACAGUAUUAGUGGGGAAAGGAAUGAUGGAAUCAAGAGAACUGACGGAGAUUAAAGGCGAAGCGUACAGGUGGUAGAAGAGGUCAAAGGCGAAGCGUACAGGUGGUAGAGGAGAUUAAAGGAGAAGCGUAUAGGUGGGCGAAGGGUUGAAGUCAAGUUCUGGGUCUGAACCAAGAGAAUUGGAGCAAUUUCACCAAAGUGCGCUUUGGCUAAUACACAUGGGUUUCUUUUUUUUGUACUAUUUGGCUCCGUCUUUCGUUGUUUUGGUGUACUGCUCUCCUUAGCAGCUUGCUAAGGCUCGGUUGUUGUUUCCUGUGGUAAUAAAGUGAUUCUUUUGGCUGGCUAAAUAAAAAAA